Long non-coding RNA from Drosophila willistoni, 624 nucleotides. RefSeq lists it as uncharacterized. The record is from RefSeq and is a predicted model, not a curated record. The transcript is spliced from 3 exons. NCBI's taxonomy places the organism in Eukaryota, Metazoa, Arthropoda, Insecta, Diptera, Drosophilidae.
AAAUGAAACUAAUAGCUGUAGAAUCUUUCCCUUUUUAACGUUAAUAUUUGAUAUUAACAAAAGUCUUUUUUUCCAGGUAAAUCAAAAUAAUCAUUAUUUACGGAUUCAACUUAAAAAAAGUACAGGAUAUUAUGUAAUCGAGACUUGGACCAACUAACUUUUGUUGUUGUUUACAGGGUAUGACAAGAAGAGUACAGAAAAAAAUCAAAUCCUUGAAAUGCUUUUAACACAAAUUACAAACAAUUUAAUUGAGGGGGCAGUCCUAGAGGAGUAAAAAGAAACGAAAGGAACGGAACGGAACGGAACGAAGACUCUCUUGCUCUUGUUGCGUUUUUAUCAUAUUUUUUGUUGGUAUUUACUUUUUAGUCAAAGUGAAAGACUAAACCACGAUUACUUCCUCUCCUCUCCCACAACCCCAGCCAGGCGACCCCACUUAGCCACAACCAUUUCUAGCCAAGCAUCUAUCCCGUUCUCCUUUCCUCCUCCUUGUCGUCGGCUAUCAUCAAAAAAGUUGCUAAAGCAACGAUCCAGAAAUUCAAUUUACUUGAACAAUUCUGUAAUUAAAGUUAACUUUCACUUGUCCCAAAAAAAAGCAAGAAGAGGACAAGAAAUAAAAGCAACAAC